Molecule: ribosomal RNA, 530 nt
Filed under: uncultured bacterium
Lineage: Bacteria
Description: bacterial SSU rRNA
Rfam family: Bacterial small subunit ribosomal RNA
Source: RNAcentral
UCGCCCUUCCAGUUUGAUCCUGGCUCUUAUUGAACGCUGGCGGCAUGCCUAACCUCUGCCAAUUCAACUGAAUUUAUGGGAGCUUGCUCCCAAACUCUAAGUGCCGGACGGGUUUGAAUACUUAGGAAACCCCCGAUCAACCUCGGACGGCAAUUUCAGCCGAAUGCCAUCACCCUGGACGCUCUACGGACGAGCGUCUGGGAUCUUCAGAUCUUGCUAUAUUGAAUGAUACUACAUCUCAUUGGCUGUCUGUUGACAUAAAGGCUCACCAAGGCGACGAUCCGUAGCUGGUUUGAGAGGACGAUCAGCCACACUGGGACUGAGACACGGCCCAGACUCCUACGGGAGGCAGCAGUGGGGAAUAUUGGACAAUGGGGGCAACCCUGAUCCAGCAAUGCCGCGUGUGUGAAGAAGGCCUGCGGGUUGUAAAGCACUUUCAGUAGAGAAGAAAAGCCUACGGUUAAUAACCGUGAGUCUUGACGUUACCUACAGAAGAAGCUCCGGCUAACUCCGUGCCAGCAGCCGCGGUA